Molecule: ribosomal RNA, 332 nt
Filed under: uncultured bacterium
Lineage: Bacteria
Description: bacterial SSU rRNA
Rfam family: Bacterial small subunit ribosomal RNA
Source: RNAcentral
AGUGUAGGCGGGAUCGUAAGUUAGGAGUUUAAUGCAUGGGCUUAACCCAUGAUCUGCUUUUAAUACUGCGGUUCUUGAGUAUGGGAGAGGGCGAUGGAAUUCCAGGUGUAGCGGUGGAAUGCGUAGAUAUCUGGAAGAACACCAGUAGCGAAGGCGGUCGCCUGGCCCAAUACUGACGCUGAUGCUCGAAAGCUAGGGGAGCAAACAGGAUUAGAUACCCUGGUAGUCCUAGCCGUAAACGAUGGACACUAGUUGCUGGAGGAGUCAAUCCUUUCGGUGACGAAGCUAACGCAUUAAGUGUCCCGCCUGGGGAGUACGCUCGCAAGGGUGAA